This 317-nucleotide small nuclear RNA is filed under the name Jaculus jaculus (lesser Egyptian jerboa). RNAcentral describes it as "7SK RNA (ENSJJAG00000003886.1)". It matches the Rfam family "7SK RNA". From Rfam's summary of the family: 7SK was discovered as an abundant small nuclear RNA in the mid-70s but a possible function has only recently been suggested. Two independent studies have found that 7SK RNA binds the CDK9/cyclin T complex (known as elongation factor P-TEFb). Lineage: Eukaryota; Metazoa; Chordata; Mammalia; Rodentia; Dipodidae. The record is from Rfam by way of RNAcentral.
GAAUGUCAGGGAGAUCUGGCUGUGACAUCUGUCACCCCAUUGACUGUGAUGCUGGACUUUGCCGCUCUGGAUGGCUGGUGUAGGUCCCCUUUCUCGUCACCCACUCCAUAUGCCUUCCCUCCCAAAGCGGUUUGUGCUGGGUCAUGGAGGACAGCCUUCCACACGAGAGCAGGGUGGUUCUUCUCUCACAGAGGCACCUGCAGCUGUGCUCCCUGAUAGUUUCCCAAAGAAGCUCUCAAGAAGUUUGUGUGGUAGAGUAGAUUUGGAGUAUAGAAUAAUAAAUUUUAUAAGAUAUUUUGAGGUUUAGAAAGAAGUUU